AAAUUGAAGAGUUUGAUCAUGGCUCAGAUUGAACGCUGGCGGCAGGCCUAACACAUGCAAGUCGAACGGUAACAGGAAGCAGCUUGCUGCUUCGCUGACGAGUGGCGGACGGGUGAGUAAUGUCUGGGAAACUGCCUGAUGGAGGGGGAUAACUACUGGAAACGGUGGCUAAUACCGCAUAACGUCGCAAGACCAAAGAGGGGGACCUUCGGGCCUCUUGCCAUCAGAUGUGCCCAGAUGGGAUUAGCUUGUUGGUGAGGUAACGGCUCACCAAGGCGACGAUCCCUAGCUGG
This 293-nucleotide ribosomal RNA is filed under the name Salmonella enterica subsp. enterica serovar Infantis. RNAcentral's name for it is "partial 16S ribosomal RNA". It matches the Rfam family "Bacterial small subunit ribosomal RNA", at positions 1 to 290 of the family's 1533-position model. RNAcentral also lists the same sequence under 3 other names. The record is from RNAcentral. Lineage: Bacteria; Pseudomonadati; Pseudomonadota; Gammaproteobacteria; Enterobacterales; Enterobacteriaceae.